GACAGAGGUGGCAAGCGUUGUUCGGAUUUAUUGGGUGUAAAGGGCAGGUAGGUGGUUAUGUAAGUCUGGCGUGAAAUCCCAGGGCUCAACCCUGGAACUGCGUUGGAAACUACAUGACUUGAGUAUCGGAGAGGUGAGGGGAAUUCUCGGUGUAAGGGUGAAAUCUGUAGAUAUUUGGAGGAACACCGAUGGCGAAGGCAGCCCCCUGGGCGUAACACUGACGCUCAUGCACGAAAG
RNAcentral lists this ribosomal RNA (237 nucleotides) under uncultured bacterium. RNAcentral's name for it is "partial 16S ribosomal RNA". It matches the Rfam family "Bacterial small subunit ribosomal RNA", at positions 524 to 759 of the family's 1533-position model. The record is from RNAcentral.